AGUCGAGCGAGAACCCAGGCUUCGGCCUGGGGGAAAGCGGCGAACGGGUGAGUAACACGUGGGUAAUCUGCCCUCGGCAUCGGGAUAGCCCGGGGAAACCCGGAUUAAUACCGGAUGGCCCAACAGCUCUUCGGAGCGGUUGGAAAAGGUAGCUUCGGCCUCCGGCCGAGGAGGAGCCCGCGGCGGAUUAGCUUGUUGGUGAGGUAACGGCUCACCAAGGCUCCGAUCCGUAGCUGGUCUGAGAGGACGAUCAGCCACACUGGGACUGAGACACGGCCCAGACUCCUACGGGAGGCAGCAGUGGGGAAUCUUGCGCAAUGGGCGAAAGCCUGACGCAGCGACGCCGCGUGAGGGAAGAAGGCCUUCGGGUUGUAAACCUCUUUCAGGAGGGACGAAGCUACUCGGGUUAAUAGCCCAGAGGGUGACGGUACCUCCAGAAGAAGCCCCGGCUAACUACGUGCCAGCAGCCGCGGUAAUACGUAGGGGGCUAGCGUUGUCCGGAUUUAUUGGGCGUAAAGAGCGUGUAGGCGGCCAGGUAGGUCUGCUGUGAAAACUCGAGGCUCAACCUCGAGACGUCGGCGGAAACCAUCUGGCUAGAGUCCGGAAGAGGAGAGUGGAAUUCCUGGUGUAGCGGUGAAAUGCGCAGAUAUCAGGAAGAACACCCGUGGCGAAGGCGGCUCUCUGGGACGGUACUGACGCUGAGACGCGAAAGCGUGGGGAGCGAACAGGAUUAGAUACCCUGGUAGUCCACGCCGUAAACGAUGGGUGCUAGGUGUGGGCGGUGUCGACUCCGUCCGUGCCGAAGCUAACGCAUUAA
RNAcentral lists this ribosomal RNA (817 nucleotides) under uncultured Actinomycetes bacterium. RNAcentral describes it as "bacterial SSU rRNA". It matches the Rfam family "Bacterial small subunit ribosomal RNA", at positions 60 to 863 of the family's 1533-position model. The record is from RNAcentral. Lineage: Bacteria; Bacillati; Actinomycetota; Actinomycetes.